This 389-nucleotide ribosomal RNA is filed under the name Haptolina sp. RNAcentral's name for it is "partial small subunit ribosomal RNA". It matches the Rfam family "Eukaryotic small subunit ribosomal RNA", at positions 582 to 975 of the family's 1831-position model. Lineage: Eukaryota; Haptophyta; Prymnesiales; Prymnesiaceae. The record is from RNAcentral.
AUUCCAGCUCCAAUAGCGUAUAUUAAAGUUGUUGCAGUUAAAACGCUCGUAGUCGGAUUUCGGGGCCUGCCUGCCGGUCUGCCGAUGGGUAUGCACUGGCAGGCGCGUCCUUCCUUCCGGAGACUGUCCCUACUCUUAACUGAGCGGGGUCGGGAGACGGAUCGUUUACUUUGAAAAAAUCAGAGUGUUUCAAGCAGGCAGCUCGCUCUUGCAUGGAUUAGCAUGGGAUAAUGAAAUAGGACUUUGGUGCUAUUUUGUUGGUUUCGAACACCGAAGUAAUGAUUAACAGGGACAGUCAGGGGCACUCGUAUUCCGCCGAGAGAGGUGAAAUUCUCAGACCAGCGGAAGACGAACUACUGCGAAAGCAUUUGCCAGGGAUGUUUUCAUUA